CACCCCGUCAUCUGGGGAGUAGCCAGCUGGCGUCUGUGCAAGCGGACCGUCAGUGCCCUGUCGUCAACAUACUUGGUCGAGAGACCAUGGCGCACAGGAGAACGGGCAACCGUUCGGGCGAGACCAAUGGCGUUGCAGCUCCGCUCGGCCGGGCGGGUUCUGCCACGCUAUUGUCUUGUCUGUCGCCCG
This 189-nucleotide small RNA is filed under the name Novosphingobium pentaromativorans. Its description in RNAcentral is "Manganese sequence". It matches the Rfam family "Manganese Mn2+ riboswitch aptamer (yybP-ykoY)". Rfam says of the family: This RNA was originally discovered in E. coli during a large scale screen and was named SraF. The record is from RNAcentral. Lineage: Bacteria; Pseudomonadati; Pseudomonadota; Alphaproteobacteria; Sphingomonadales; Sphingomonadaceae.